CCUACGGGUGGCUGCAGUGGGGAAUAUUGCACAAUGGGGGGAACCCUGAUGCAGCGACGCCGCGUGAGUGAAGAAGUAUUUCGGUAUGUAAAGCUCUAUCAGCAGGGAAGAAAAUGACGGUACCUGACUCAGAAGCCCCGUCUAACUACGUGCCAGCAGCCGCGGCAAUAAGUGGGGGGCAAGCGUUAUCCGGAUUUACUGGGGGUAAAGGGAGCGUAGACGGGAGAGCAAGUCUGGAGUGAAAGCCCGCGGCCCAACUGCGGGACUGCUUUGGAAACUGCCCGGCUAGAGUGCUGGAGAGGUAAGCGGAAUGCCUAGUGUAGCGGUGAAAUGCAUAGAUAUUAGGAAGAACACCAGUGGCGAAGGCGGCUUACUGGACAGUAACUGACGUUGAGGCUCGAAAGCGUGGGGAGCAAACAGGAUUAGAUACCCGGGUAGUC
This 440-nucleotide ribosomal RNA is filed under the name uncultured bacterium. Its description in RNAcentral is "partial 16S ribosomal RNA". It matches the Rfam family "Bacterial small subunit ribosomal RNA", at positions 338 to 795 of the family's 1533-position model. The record is from RNAcentral.